GGGGGUUAUGGCACAGGUUGGCUGGAGGCAGCCAUGGCGCGAACAGGGGUGAGGGGAGCUGGAGACUCAAGCCAGGGGACUAGAAGAAGUUACUAAGGGAGAAACUGGACGGGGCCCCGCCAAGAAGUCAUCAAUGCACUGGGCAUCCUCGUGAAGAGCAAAAGUGAUUUAAAAAUAGAAAACUUACUCUCUCUGAGCUCUAUUUCUCUUGUAUUUUAGUAGAGCUCAGUGAAUCAAGCAAACAACGUGGCCCCACUCUAACUGCUGUGAUUGCUCACGCUAUCAUUUCCCAGAACGCUGAAGGAUAAAUACAGCUGCGUUUAAACAUUUUUAAGUGUGUUUAUAGCGACUCUGGCAGUUUCCUGGGUUCCUUCAUUCAGAAGAACCAGAAACAUGACCUGGAUGGAAGGAGCAGUUCAGUCCCAUCAGACAAGAGCUCCUGGGUACUGCUUUUGUGGUGUUCCUUCUGAAUGUUAACUUACCCAAUAAAAACAAUUGCAGGAAGCAUACCAUUUCCCAUAUUGCCCCCAUAUUGUCCAUUUACAGCUAUUUGACCACAACAGGUUGUAUGAAACUUGGAGAACAUUACUGACGCUUUUACUGUUGGAAGGGGUCCCAGAAGCACUUCUGUUAUCUGAGGGAGCCCAUUCCCUGAGAAAAUCUGGGGUUAGCAGCAGAGAUUAAUUUCCUAGUGCUGUGACUGCAAACUCAUCAGAACUUAUUACCCCAAGAGAUUGACCAACAUCCUCCUUAAAGAUCAGCAAAAAGGAUUUUAAGCAGCAGCUUUAUCCCAAGUGAAAUUAGACUUGAAUUACAGGAAAGAACAAAGACAACAUAUGUUUUUCUGUCACACCCUGAUCAUCCUAUGUGUUUUGAGGGGCUCUAGCUCAGCUUGUAUCAUCAACUUGAAAAGGUAUGCUUUAUAUCAAUAAAAAUCGUUAGAGUUGGAA
Molecule: long non-coding RNA, 950 nt
Organism: Dromaius novaehollandiae (emu)
Lineage: Eukaryota; Metazoa; Chordata; Aves; Casuariiformes; Dromaiidae
Exons: 2
Source: RefSeq, a predicted model, not a curated record